Molecule: long non-coding RNA, 1180 nt
Filed under: Marmota marmota marmota (Alpine marmot)
Lineage: Eukaryota; Metazoa; Chordata; Mammalia; Rodentia; Sciuridae
Description: lncRNA (ENSMMMG00000001020.1)
Source: RNAcentral
GGGGUCCCAUGCAGCACACAAAAGAUGGGCCAGCAGAUGGUCACAUGUCAAUCCCUCCCCUGGGCCCAGCCCACCAGCCACACCCCAAGCCAAUGUCCUGGCCUCACAGCUGCAACUGGCCAAAGACCAAGCUCGGAUCUUUUUGGUCCCCGCCAUUCUCCCCCAAAAACCUCUUCGGCACCUUCCGGAUCUGGCAGGUUCAUCAGAGUGCCAACAACCUGUGCCACUCAGCCCACCCCAACCCCCACACUGGCAGGCCACACGCCAAGCAGCCCUUGGGGAAGAUGGGGCACUGCGCUUUAGAGACUGUUCUGGGUACCAGGAUCUCGGGUGGAGGAGAGGACCAAGAGGGACAGGCCCUCAGCCCAGGGCAGCGUCGUUGCCCGGUUCUCCAUCAAUAAGGCAUGGGGUGAGUUACGCGCCACAGGAACCCAGCUGGAGGUCAGAAACCUGUCCACGCACGGCAGCUUGGGGCUCCCCCAGCGGUCCUCAGGGCCUCGCUGCCUGCUCCGGCCUCUGCACCCACCGGGGGCUCUGCCUUCCUCCUUGGGCUCUCAGCUCAGACUCCUUCCAUGAUGUGGGUAUUUUUAGCCAUCUUUGGGGGGAAAUUUUCCUGUUUGAUGACAAAAGACUUAUUCCCUCCUGGGGUGGGAGCCAAGCCAUGCAAAUCCUCUUGGUGUUGCAGGUGACACAUCAAGAAGCUGUCACCGGCAUAAUAACUCAAACCUUUGUGGGCACAAGAACACGUUCUCAAAGAAAUCCUGUGACUUCAAAUAGCAGUACUGUGAGCUGCUCUCUGCUUCCAGUUUGGGGUAGGAAUUCACACACCCCAGGGACAGAACAAAAGUCUACAGGAACUCGGGUGGCGGUAAGCACAGAGAAAAGGGGCUUUUACAUCACCGGAUAAUCACAUUUGACGGUUCUCUAGCAUGUUCCCCGUGGAGCACAGAGAUUUCUGCAAAGCCUUUCAUCUCCGGCAGCAAGUGGGCGGCGAGUUAUUGUCACCCUGCGUUUUGCAGGGGUGAGUGCCAGUGAUCGGGGAUCUCCCAUGAGGCAGAGGCCAGGCCUCCAAGCCUCCCUACAGAGGCAUCCACGUGCCUACCUGCCUCCCAGAGGAGGGUCGGGUGGGGAAGCCAAAGCAUGGUUCUGGCCUUUAAAGGAGCCACAGAUCCAAAACCAG